GGCAUCAAGGAAAAUAUCCUGGAGGAGAGGCUGAUUAUUCCCAUUCUGAGAACAGGAAUACCCAGUCAUGAGGGAGAUCCUGCUGCUCCAGGUGGCCACAAAGAAUUACAACGUAGAGCCCGAGGAGCGAUUUGGGGCCUGGUUCCAGGACAUGGAGCUGCUCAACGAGAAUGAUAGUCGCCAGGCCCCAACACCAACUCCCGUACCAGUGGCCUAUCACAGCCCCAUCCUCAGCAGCG
Long non-coding RNA from Diceros bicornis minor, 239 nucleotides. RefSeq lists it as uncharacterized. The transcript has 3 exons. Lineage: Eukaryota; Metazoa; Chordata; Mammalia; Perissodactyla; Rhinocerotidae. The record is from RefSeq and is a predicted model, not a curated record.